GCGGGAGUAGCUCAGUUGGUAGAGCACGACCUUGCCAAGGUCGGGGUCGCGAGUUCGAAUCUCGUUUCCCGCU
Molecule: transfer RNA, 73 nt
Filed under: Cyclobacteriaceae bacterium
Lineage: Bacteria; Pseudomonadati; Bacteroidota; Cytophagia; Cytophagales; Cyclobacteriaceae
Description: tRNA-Gly
Rfam family: tRNA
About the family: Transfer RNA (tRNA) molecules are approximately 80 nucleotides in length.
Source: RNAcentral